GACGAACGCUGGCGGCGUGCCUAAUACAUGCAAGUAGAACGCUGAAGAGAGGAGCUUGCUCUUCUUGGAUGAGUUGCGAACGGGUGAGUAACGCGUAGGUAACCUGCCUUGUAGCGGGGGAUAACUAUUGGAAACGAUAGCUAAUACCGCAUAACAAUGGAUGACACAUGUCAUUUAUUUGAAAGGGGCAAUUACUCCACUACAAGAUGGACCUGCGUUGUAUUAGCUAGUAGGUGAGGUAAUGGCUCACCUAGGCGACGAUACAUAGCCGACCUGAGAGGGUGAUCGGCCACACUGGGACUGAGACACGGCCCAGACUCCUACGGGAGGCAGCAGGAGGGAAUCUUCGGCAAUGGGGGCAACCCUGACCGAGCAACGCCGCGGGAGGGAAGAAGGUUUUCGGAUCGUAAAGCUCUGUUGUAAGUCAAGAACGGGUGUGAGAGUGGAAAGUUCACACUGUGACGGUAGCUUACCAGAAAGGGACGGCUAACUACGUG
This 497-nucleotide ribosomal RNA is filed under the name uncultured bacterium. Its description in RNAcentral is "partial 16S ribosomal RNA". It matches the Rfam family "Bacterial small subunit ribosomal RNA", at positions 28 to 507 of the family's 1533-position model. The record is from RNAcentral.